CUACCGGGGUAUCUAAUCCUGUUUGCUCCCCACGCUUUCGUGCCUGAACGUCGGUGCUGGACCAGGAAGCCGCUUUCGCCACUGGUGUUCCUUCCGAUAUCUACGCAUUUCACCGCUACACCGGAAAUUCCGCUUCCCUCUUCCGCACCCUAGCUAUGCAGUCUCGAAUGGCAUUCCCAGGUUGAGCCCGGGGCUUUCACACCCGACUUACAUAACCGUCUACGCACGCUUUACGCCCAGUAAUUCCGAUUAACGCUCGCACCCUCUGUAUUACCGCGGCUGCUGGCAC
This 289-nucleotide ribosomal RNA is filed under the name uncultured Gammaproteobacteria bacterium. RNAcentral describes it as "partial 16S ribosomal RNA". Lineage: Bacteria; Pseudomonadati; Pseudomonadota; Gammaproteobacteria. The record is from RNAcentral.